UGAGGAAUAUUGGUCAAUGGACGGAAGUCUGAACCAGCCAAGUAGCGUGCAGGAUGACGGCCCUAUGGGUUGUAAACUGCUUUUGUAUGGGGAUAAAGUUAGGGACGUGUCCCUAUUUGCAGGUACCAUACGAAUAAGGACCGGCUAAUUCCGUGCCAGCAGCCGCGGUAAUACGGAAGGUCCAGGCGUUAUCCGGAUUUAUUGGGUUUAAAGGGAGCGUAGGCUGGAGAUUAAGUGUGUUGUGAAAUGUAGACGCUCAACGUCUGAAUUGCAGCGCAUACUGGUUUCCUUGAGUACGCACAACGUUGGCGGAAUUCGUCGUGUAGCGGUGAAAUGCUUAGAUAUGACGAAGAACUCCGAUUGCGAAGGCAGCUGACGGGAGCGCAACUGACGCUUAAGCUCGAAGGUGCGGGUAUCAAACAGGAUUAGAUACCCUGGUAGUCCGCACAGUAAACGAUGGAUGCCCGCUGUUGGUACCUGGUAUCAGCGGCUAAGCGAAAGCAUUAAGCAUCCCAUCUGGGGAGUACGCCGGCAACGGUG
Molecule: ribosomal RNA, 540 nt
Filed under: uncultured bacterium
Lineage: Bacteria
Description: bacterial SSU rRNA
Rfam family: Bacterial small subunit ribosomal RNA
Source: RNAcentral